GGGAGUCUUGUCCUAACAGGGCAGGUCAUAUUGUCUCGUUUUUACUUUUAAUGGAGGAAUAAAUUUUAUAAUUGAGAGCCGUGCUAAACUCUCUACCAGUUCCUAGGUCAAUUUUUCCCCAGGAAAUAAUGGAUGUGACAUGACUUUGGAAGACAAUUUACAGUGUGAGAAGCAUGGACUCCUUCUGAGUGGUGAAGGCUAUCCAUUGCUGCAUUGAAAGGAACCUGGACAAGUGGCUGGAAGCUGGUCUGACUUCUCUGCCGGACGUUGCUUCCUCUCCUUUGCUGCUGGGCAGUCACGGACGAAGGCUUCUUACCCUGACUGAGCUGUCCUCAGCCAUUGCCAUGUGCCAGCCAUCACCUGUCCUCGCUUGAGUUAGGAACAGGUGUAGCUCCCUUGGUUCUUCUCAUUGGGCCUAUGAGAGGAUUAGUUGGGGCUGGGGACUCUUGAUUUGUUGUACAGUGGAGU
RNAcentral lists this long non-coding RNA (468 nucleotides) under Mus caroli (Ryukyu mouse). Its description in RNAcentral is "predicted gene 829 (MGP_CAROLIEiJ_G0005837.1)". Lineage: Eukaryota; Metazoa; Chordata; Mammalia; Rodentia; Muridae. The record is from RNAcentral.